This 250-nucleotide ribosomal RNA is filed under the name uncultured prokaryote. RNAcentral describes it as "partial 16S ribosomal RNA". It matches the Rfam family "Bacterial small subunit ribosomal RNA", at positions 524 to 773 of the family's 1533-position model. The record is from RNAcentral.
UACGAAGGGUGCAAGCGUUACUCGGAAUUACUGGGCGUAAAGCGUGCGUAGGUGGUUCGUUAAGUCUGAUGUGAAAGCCCUGGGCUCAACCUGGGAACUGCAUUGGAUACUGGCGAUCUGGAGUGCGGUAGAGGGUGGCGGAAUCCCCGGUGUAGCAGUGAAAUGCGUAGAUAUCGGGAGGAACAUCCGUGGCGAAGGCGGCCACCUGGACCAGCACUGACACUGAGGCACGAAAGCGUGGGGAGCAAAC